RNAcentral lists this ribosomal RNA (254 nucleotides) under uncultured bacterium. RNAcentral describes it as "partial 16S ribosomal RNA". It matches the Rfam family "Bacterial small subunit ribosomal RNA", at positions 524 to 776 of the family's 1533-position model. The record is from RNAcentral.
UACGGGGGGGGCAAGCGUUGUUCGGAAUUACUGGGCGUAAAGGGCUCGUAGGCGGCCAACUAAGUCAGACGUGAAAUUCCUCGGCUUAACCGGGGAACUGCGUCUGAUACUGGAUGGCUUGAGUUUGGGAGAGGGAUGCGGAAUUCCAGGUGUAGCGGUGAAAUGCGUAGAUAUCUGGAGGAACACCGGUGGCGAAGGCGGCAUCCUGGACCAACACUGACGCUGAGUGAGCGAAAGCGUGGGGAGCAAACAGG